GGUGGGGUUCCCGAGCGGCCAAAGGGAGCAGACUGUAAAUCUGCCGUCAUCGACUUCGAAGGUUCGAAUCCUUCACCCACCACCA
RNAcentral lists this transfer RNA (85 nucleotides) under Escherichia coli. Its description in RNAcentral is "tRNA-Tyr". It matches the Rfam family "tRNA". From Rfam's summary of the family: Transfer RNA (tRNA) molecules are approximately 80 nucleotides in length. Their secondary structure includes four short double-helical elements and three loops (D, anti-codon, and T loops). Further hydrogen bonds mediate the characteristic L-shaped molecular structure. tRNAs have two regions of fundamental functional importance: the anti-codon, which is responsible for specific mRNA codon recognition, and the 3' end, to which the tRNAs corresponding amino acid is attached (by aminoacyl-tRNA synthetases). tRNAs cope with the degeneracy of the genetic code in two manners: having more than one tRNA (with a specific anti-codon) for a particular amino acid; and 'wobble' base-pairing, i.e. permitting non-standard base-pairing at the 3rd anti-codon position. Lineage: Bacteria; Pseudomonadati; Pseudomonadota; Gammaproteobacteria; Enterobacterales; Enterobacteriaceae. The record is from RNAcentral. RNAcentral also lists the same sequence under 1 other name.